This 54-nucleotide transfer RNA is filed under the name Cordylochernes scorpioides. RNAcentral's name for it is "tRNA-Ser". Lineage: Eukaryota; Metazoa; Arthropoda; Arachnida; Pseudoscorpiones; Chernetidae. The record is from RNAcentral.
UCCAGGGUAGCCUAGUGGACAUGGCACCUGCCGGUUCGAUUCCCGCCCCUGGAC